AUUGAACGCUGGCGGCAGGCCUAACACAUGCAAGUCGAACGGUAACAGGAAGAAGCUUGCUUCUUUGCUGACGAGUGGCGGACGGGUGAGUAAUGUCUGGGAAACUGCCUGAUGGAGGGGGAUAACUACUGGAAACGGUAGCUAAUACCGCAUAAUGUCGCAAGACCAAAGAGGGGGACCUUCGGGCCUCUUGCCAUCGGAUGUGCCCAGAUGGGAUUAGCUAGUAGGUGGGGUAACGGCUCACCUAGGCGACGAUCCCUAGCUGGUCUGAGAGGAUGACCAGCCACACUGGAACUGAGACACGGUCCAGACUCCUACGGGAGGCAGCAGUGGGGAAUAUUGCACAAAGGGUGCAAGCCUGAUGCAGCUAUGCCGCGUGUAUGAAGAAGGCCUUCGGGUUGUAAAGUACUUUCAGCGGGGAGGAAGGGAGUAAAGUUAAUACCUUUGCUCAUUGACGUUACCCGCAGAAGAAGCACCGGCUAACUCCGUG
RNAcentral lists this ribosomal RNA (490 nucleotides) under uncultured bacterium. Its description in RNAcentral is "partial 16S ribosomal RNA". It matches the Rfam family "Bacterial small subunit ribosomal RNA", at positions 30 to 507 of the family's 1533-position model. The record is from RNAcentral.